This 500-nucleotide ribosomal RNA is filed under the name uncultured bacterium. RNAcentral describes it as "partial 16S ribosomal RNA". It matches the Rfam family "Bacterial small subunit ribosomal RNA", at positions 30 to 523 of the family's 1533-position model. The record is from RNAcentral.
AUUGAACGCUGGCGGCAGGCUUAACACAUGCAAGUCGAGCGGAGAUGAGGUGCUUGCACCUUAUCUUAGCGGCGGACGGGUGAGUAUGCUUAGGAAUCUGCCUAUUAGUGGGGGACAACAUUCCGAAAGGAACGCUAAUACCGCAUACGUCCUACGGGAGAAAGCAGGGGAUCUUCGGACCUUGCGCUAAUAGAGGAGCCUAAGUCGGAUUAGCUAGUUGGUGGGGUAAAGGCCUACCAAGGCGACGAUCUGUAGCGGGUCUGAGAGGAUGAUCCGCCACACUGGGACUGAGACACGGCCCAGACUCCUACGGGAGGCAGCAGUGGGGAAUAUUGGACAAUGGGGGAAACCCUGAUCCAGCCAUGCCGCGUGUGUGAAGAAGGCCUUAUGGUUGUAAAGCACUUUAAGCGAGGAGGAGGCUACUGAGACUAAUACUCUUGGAUAGUGGACGUUACUCGCAGAAUAAGCACCGGCUAACUCUGUGCCAGCAGCCGCCGUAA